This 484-nucleotide ribosomal RNA is filed under the name uncultured bacterium. RNAcentral's name for it is "partial 16S ribosomal RNA". It matches the Rfam family "Bacterial small subunit ribosomal RNA", at positions 28 to 523 of the family's 1533-position model. The record is from RNAcentral.
GAUGAACGCUGGCGGCGUGCUUAACACAUGCAAGUCGAACGGUGAAGCAGGAGCUUGCCCUUGUGGAUCAGUGGCGAACGGGUGAGUAACACGUGAGCAACCUGCCCCUGACUCUGGGAUAAGCGCUGGAAACGGCGUCUAAUACUGGAUAUGUGAUGUGACCGCAUGGUCUGCAUCUGGAAAGAAUUUCGGUUGGGGAUGGGCUCGCGGCCUAUCAGCUUGUUGGUGAGGUAAUGGCUCACCAAGGCGUCGACGGGUAGCCGGCCUGAGAGGGUGACCGGCCACACUGGGACUGAGACACGGCCCAGACUCCUACGGGAGGCAGCAGUGGGGAAUAUUGCACUAUGGGCGGAAGCCUGAUGCAGCAACGCCGCGUGAGGGAUGACGGCCUUCGGGUUGUAAACUUCUUUUAGCAGGGAAGAAGCGAAAGUGACGGUACCUGCAGAAAAAGCACCGGCUAACUACGUGCCAGCAGCCGCGGUAA